UGUGGCUCACGUCUGUACUCCCAGAGCCUUGGGAGGUCGAGGCGGGAAGAUCGCUUGAGCCCGGGAGCUCGAGACCAGACGCGGCAACAUGGCGAGACGCACAUCUCUGCCUUUAAAAAUGAGAGGCUGGCGGUUACCUUUCUUGGGGAGACGCGUCCGACUGCUUCAUUGUGGGGGCCUCAGGAGCGGAGGAUCGGGUCCCGCCCGAGGUGACGCGUAAACCCAGACUCUCAGCAACGCGGGUAGGAAGGACCCUUGAAGUUCCGCGGCGACCACGGAACUGUGCCUUCGAUCUCCACAGUCGGCUGAAACCAGCAGCCCAGGACAAGUGGACCAGCCAGCAAGACCCAGACCAUCCAAACCGGCUGAUCCUACGACAGGACCCAGAUGCCAGUGAAAGUGACCACAGCCCUGCUCUAGUCACCCCGGAAGCUGACCAGUCUACGCACGGCCGAAGCUUCGUCAAGGAAGUAAAUGUAGUUAGAAAUCUUAAGCCCAGUAAUUUUCCUUGUCAUCUUAAUUGUUUUACUAUUAACCUGUCGCUUUGCUCAACCCCCUCCUCUGGGCAAACAUCUCUUGUCCAUCCUAGGUACAAACAUGCUACUCUUCCCUUUGUUCUUGCUGCUCUCGCUAGAUCUAUGUCAGAAGGAGGGAUAUGCGGAGAGUUUAAUUUAACUAAUUGUUGCCUAAAAAUCGAUGACAAUGAGGAGGACGUC
This 716-nucleotide long non-coding RNA is filed under the name Homo sapiens (human). RNAcentral describes it as "PREDICTED lncRNA (TCONS_00137244)". The record is from RNAcentral. Lineage: Eukaryota; Metazoa; Chordata; Mammalia; Primates; Hominidae.